This is a non-coding RNA of Paramuricea clavata, 221 nucleotides long. NCBI's taxonomy places the organism in Eukaryota, Metazoa, Cnidaria, Anthozoa, Malacalcyonacea, Plexauridae. The record is from the annotation of a GenBank genome assembly.
AGUUUGGCCACGAAAUGUUGUAAAAUGCGGAAAACAUAACUCUGCAAAAUUUGCAAAUUUUGUAUUAAUUUGUAUUACGUGCGGGAAAAUGCAUCACAUUUGGGCCGAAAGUGGUGCAAAUUCCCGUGUGCGUAAUAAGAGUAAUACAAAUUGAUACAAAAUUUAGAAAUUUCGUAGGGCUAUAUUUUCCUCAUUUUAACCGAACAUUUCGCAACCAAACU